CUCUUUCUCGAUUCAGUGGAUGGUGGUGCAUGGCCGUUCUUAGUUGGUGGAGUGAUCUGUCUGGUUAAUUCCGAUAACGAACGAGACUCUCCCCUGCUAACUAGUCGGUUGGAUCUUGAUCAGUGGGUUGAGUGCCGAGUAACUCUCGCUGUGCGUGGUGUGCGUCUCGUUCCUCACGGUUCGUUGCGUGCUCAUGUGUGGCGUUGGAUGCCUUGGAUCACACUGCACCCCAAGUCCGCCGCUUUGCUAUAACUCUUCUUAGAGGGAUUCACGGCACUGAAGCCGUAAGAGACUGAGAGCAAUAACAGGUCUGUGAUGCCCUUAGAUGCUCUGGGCCGCACGCGCGCUACAAUGCCGGGCACAGCAGGUGUUUCUCCUGCUCCGACAGGAGCGGGUAACCCUCUGAAAGCCAGUGUUCUUGCAAGUGCUUCCUCCCUCGUGGAGUUGCACAGAGGCGUGCUUGGGCCUGGGACUUGCAAUUCUUUCCCACCAACGAGGAAUGCCUAGUAGCGGCGGGUCACUGAGCCCGCUGUGACUCAGUCCCUGCCCUUUGUACACACCGCCCGUCGCUACUACCGAUUGGGUGUACCAGUGAGAGCCUUGGACUGGCGUCCGUUGUUGCUCGCAAGAGUGACAAGCGGGUCCGACGGAAAGAGGUCCGAACUGGUGCACUUAGAGGAAGUAAAAGUCGUAACAAGGUUUCCGUAGGUGAACCUGCG
This 719-nucleotide ribosomal RNA is filed under the name Ommatogammarus albinus. RNAcentral describes it as "bacterial SSU rRNA". It matches the Rfam family "Eukaryotic small subunit ribosomal RNA", at positions 1255 to 1819 of the family's 1831-position model. Lineage: Eukaryota; Metazoa; Arthropoda; Malacostraca; Amphipoda; Ommatogammaridae. The record is from RNAcentral.